This 72-nucleotide transfer RNA is filed under the name Bombus lucorum (white-tailed bumblebee). RNAcentral describes it as "tRNA-Asp". It matches the Rfam family "tRNA". Rfam says of the family: Transfer RNA (tRNA) molecules are approximately 80 nucleotides in length. Their secondary structure includes four short double-helical elements and three loops (D, anti-codon, and T loops). Lineage: Eukaryota; Metazoa; Arthropoda; Insecta; Hymenoptera; Apidae. The record is from RNAcentral.
GAAAAUUUAGUUAAUUAUAUAUAACAUUAGAUUGUCAUUCUAAAAUCAAUAAUUUAACUUUAUUAUUUUUCU